Molecule: ribosomal RNA, 2912 nt
Filed under: Gossypium barbadense (sea-island cotton)
Lineage: Eukaryota; Viridiplantae; Streptophyta; Magnoliopsida; Malvales; Malvaceae
Description: bacterial LSU rRNA
Rfam family: Bacterial large subunit ribosomal RNA
Source: RNAcentral
CUCAGUGAUAAAGGAGGUAGGGGUGCAGAGACAGCCAGGAGGUUUGCCUAGAAGCAGCCACCCUUGAAAGAGUGCGUAAUAGCUCACUGAUCGAGCGCUCUUGCGCCGAAGAUGAACUGAAUAGGUCAACUUUUUGAACUGCUGCUAAAUCCAUGGGCAGACAAGAGACGAACUGGCGAACUGAAACAUUUAGUAGCCGGAGGGAUAGAAAGUAAAAGCGAUUCUUGUAGUAGCGGUAAGUGAAAUGGGAGCAACCUAAAUCGCGAAAACAGGGUUGUGGGAGAGCAAUAAAAGCAUCCUGCUACUAGGCGAAGCACUGAAAUGUCAAAUGCUAGAUGGCCAUAGUCUAGUAGCCAAAAGCACCGCUAGUUUACGCUCUGACUCUAGUAGCAUGGGGCACGUGAAAUCCCGUGUGAAUCAGCAAGGACCACCUCGCAAGGCUAAAUACUCCUAGGUGACCGAUAGCAAAGUAGCACCGUAAGGGAAGGGUGAAAAGAACCUCGUCGGGGAGUGAAAUAGAACAUGAAAUCGUAAGCUCCCAAGUAGUGGGAGGAGCCCAGGGCUUUGACCGCGUGGCUGUUGAAGAAUGAGUCGGUGAAUCAUAGGCAGUGGCUUGGUUAAGGGAACCCACUGAAGCCUUAGCGAAAGUGAGUCUUCAUAGGGAAAUUGUCACUGCUUACAGACCCGAACCUGGGUGGCUAUCCAUGACCAGGUUGAAGUUUGGGUGAAACUAACUGAACGUCUGAACCGACUAAUGUUGAAGAAUCAGCGGAUAAGUUGUCGUUAAGGCUAAAAUGCCACUCGAACUCAAAGCUAGCUAGUUCUCCCCGAAAUGCAUGAGGCGUAGCAGUUGACUGGACAUCUAAGGGUAAAGCAUUGUUUUGGUGCGUGCCGCGAGAGUGGUACCAAAUUGAGGCAAACUCUAACUACUAGAUAUGACCUCAAAAUAACAGGGGUCGAGGUAAACCAGUGAGACAAUAGGUUAUAAGCUUCAUCAUCGAGAGGGAAACAACCUGGAUCACCAGCUAAGGCCCCUAAAUGAUCGCUUAGUGAUAAAGGAGGUAGGGUGUAGAGACAUCUAGGAGGUUUGCCUAGAAGCAGCCACCCUUGAAAGAGUGUGUAAUAGCUUACUGAUCAAGCGCUCUUGCGCUGAAGAUGAAUGGGGCUAAGCGAUCUGCCGAAGAUGUGGGAUGUAAAAAUACAUUGGUAGGGGAGCUUUCAGUCUUAGGGGGAAGCACCCGCGUGAGUGGGAGUAGAUGAAGCAAAAGCGAGAAUGUCGGCUUGUGUAACACAAACAUUGGUGGGAAUCGAAUGCCCUGAAAACCCAAGGGUUCCUCCGCAAGGUUCGUCCACAGAGGGUGAAUUAGGGCCUAAGAUCAGGCUGAAUGGCAUAGUCAAUGGAGAACAGGUGAAUAUUCCUAUACUACCCCUUGUUGGUCCUGAGAGACGGAGGAGGCUAAAUUAGCCAAAAGAUGGUUAUCGGUUCAAGGACGCAAGGUGCCCCUAUUUUUUCAGGCUAAGAAGGGGUUGAGAAAAUGCCCCGAGCCAAUGUUUGAGUACCAGGCACUACGACGUUGAAGUAACCCAUGCUAUACUCCCAAGAAAAGCUCGAAAGACCUUUAACAAAAGGAUACCUAAGGGCGCGAGACAACUCUCUCUAAGGAACUCGGGAAAAUAGCCCCAUAAGUUUAGGAGAACGGGUGCCUCCUCAAAAAGGGGGUCGUAGUGACCAGGCCCGGGUGGCUAUUUACCAAAAACAUAGGUCUCAGCAAAGUCGUAAGACCAUGUAUGGGGGAGCCAGCGAACGAAGCUCCAGUGAGCGGCAGUCGUAACUAGAACAGUCCUAAGGUAGCGAAAUUCCUUGUCGGGUUAGUUUCGACCCGUAUGAAAGGCGUAAUGAUCUGGGCACUGUCUCAGAGAGAGGCUCAGUGAAAUAGACAUGUCUGUGAAGAUGCAGACUACCCGCACCUGGAUAGAAAGACCCUAUGAAGCUUCACUAUUCCCUGGGAUUGGCUUUGGGCCUUUCUUUAGCAGCUUAGGUGGAAGGCAAAGAAGGCCUCCUUCCGUGGAGCCCGAGCCAUUAGUGAGAUACCACUCUGGAAGAGCUAGAAUUAUAACCUUGUGUCAGGACCUAUGGGCCAAGGGACAGUCUCAGGUAGACAGUUUCUAUGGGGCGUAGGCAUGUCAAAAGGUAGCGGAGGCGUGCAAAGGUUUCCUCGGGCGGAUGGAGAUUGGCCCUCGAGUGCAAAAGAAGGGAGCUUGACUGCAAGACCCACCGGUCGAACAGGGACGAAAGUUAACCUUAGUGAUCCGAUAGUGCCAAGUGGAAGGGCCGUCGCUCAACGAAUAAAAGUUACUCUAGGUAUAACAGGCUAAUCUUCCCUAAGAGCUCACAUCGACAAGAAGGUUUGGCACCUCGAUGUCGGCUCUUCACUACUUGGGGCUGUAGUAUGUUCCAAGGGUUGGGCUGUUUACCCAUUAAAGCCAUACGUGAGCUGGGUUCAGAACGUAGUGAGACAGUUCAGUCCAUAUCUAGUGUGGGUGUUAGAGCAUUGAGAGGACCUUUCCCUAGUAAGAAAGGACCAGGAAGGACGCACCUCUGGUGUACCAAUUAUCGUGCCCAUGAUAAAUGUUGGGCAGCAAAGUGCGGAGCGAGUAACUGCUGAAAGCAUCUAAGUAGUAAGUCCACCCCAAGUUGUGUGCUCUCCUAUUCCGAAUUCCCCAGAGCCUCUGGUAGCAUAGCCGAGAUGGCAAGGGGUUCUCUGUCCCUACGAGGAUCGAAUGACAAAAAUUUUGAGAAUUCAAAAGAAGGUCACAGCGAGACAAGUCGUUUAUCAUUACGAUAGGUGUCAAGUGGAACUGCAGUGAUGUAUUCAGCUGAGGCAUCCUAACAGACGGGGAGACUUGAAACU